AUUGAACGCUGGCGGCAUGCUUUACACAUGCAAGUCGAACGGUAACAGGCCGCAAGGUGCUGACGAGUGGCGAACGGGUGAGUAAUGCAUCGGAACGUGCCCAGUCGUGGGGGAUAACUACUCGAAAGAGUAGCUAAUACCGCAUACGAUCUAUGGAUGAAAGCGGGGGACCGUAAGGCCUCGCGCGAUUGGAGCGGCCGAUGUCCGAUUAGGUAGUUGGUGGGGUAAAGGCUCACCAAGCCAACGAUCUGUAGCUGGUCUGAGAGGACAACCAGCCACACUGGGACUGAGACACGGCCCAGACUCCUACGGGAGGCAGCAGUGGGGAAUUUUGGACAAUGGGCGCAAGCCUGAUCCAGCAAUGCCGCGUGCAGGAAGAAGGCCUUCGGGUUGUAAACUGCUUUUGUACGGAACGAAACGGCUCUGGUUAAUACCCGGGGCUAAUGACGGUACCGUAAGAAUAAGCACCGGCUAACUACGUG
RNAcentral lists this ribosomal RNA (482 nucleotides) under uncultured bacterium. RNAcentral describes it as "partial 16S ribosomal RNA". It matches the Rfam family "Bacterial small subunit ribosomal RNA", at positions 30 to 507 of the family's 1533-position model. The record is from RNAcentral.